AACGCACAUUGCACUCUGUUUCGGCAGAGUAUGCCUGUUUGAGAAUCUAUAGUAUUCUUUCUGCAUGGGAUUUCCAGGCAGAGACUUGGGGCGUCUGUGUCAACAGUGCCCUCAAUAGCAUAAGACGGUCGCCGUCUGCGAAAAGUAUGCGCACGAAACCUCGGUUUCUCUUAUACUGACUAGCGCCAGCGAACCACCGUCUCUUGAACAAUGGUCUCAAAUCAGGCAAGAGGACCCGCUGAACUUAA
Molecule: unclassified non-coding RNA, 248 nt
Filed under: uncultured fungus
Lineage: Eukaryota; Fungi
Description: partial contains 5.8S rRNA and ITS2
Source: RNAcentral